Molecule: ribosomal RNA, 253 nt
Filed under: uncultured bacterium
Lineage: Bacteria
Description: partial 16S ribosomal RNA
Rfam family: Bacterial small subunit ribosomal RNA
Source: RNAcentral
GACGGAGGAGGCAAGCGUUAUCCGGAAUUAUUGGGCGUAAAGGGUACGUAGGCGGCUGAUCAAGUCUGGGGUCAAAGGCCACAGCACAACUGUGGGAAGGCCCUGGAAACUGACCGGCUAGAGUGAGGUAGGGGUUGCGGGAAUCCCCGGUGUAGCGGUGAAAUGCGUAGAGAUCGGGAAGAACACCUGAGGCGGAAGCGCGCAACUGGGCCUCAACUGACGCUGAGGUACGAAAGCUAGGGGAGCGAAUGGG